AAAUGUCCACCUUUGUUCUCCUCCUGUGAUUGUGCGGUAGCUCUGAUGGGGAGACACCUGGGGUUGAGGUAGGAGUAGAAUGAAAGGGUAUGAGAUAAUCACACUCUUUCACAACUCAAAGAGCUUUCCUAUGCUAAUCAGGACUGUGCUAAUAAUGCUAAUCACAUUUCAUCUGGAAUAACUUCAUGUCUAAAUGCUAAAGUGAUAAUUUAACUAAAUUCAUUUAUACAUACACAAUGUCAUGACCUUUAAUAUUGUUCACUGUUAAAAUUCACACCAUGUUUUAGUUUUAGUUACAUUUUAGUUAAAAUGUAAACACUAUAAAGUUACAUGCACACUUUCUUAUUAACUGCUGUAUGUAACAUCUUUUAGUAAAAAGAAAGAAUGAAAGUAACAUUUUCUACUGUAAACCUUUCUAGUGUCUACAUCUUAAAUAAUACAGAUGAGCGUUUCCCCCCAAGUGUCUGAUGAUUACCGUAAAACCCCGUAUAUACGCUCACUCCAGGUUCUACCUUAGACAAAUGAUUUGUGAAAGGACCAUACUGAAACUGUACUGCGUCCCCCUCCCCCACAGCGGGAUUACACAUUAUUCCUCUUUGGGGUUGUUAGAUCUGCUGACCUAAAAGCACUUCAUUAAACUUCUUCUAUCAGAGAGGUUCCAGCACACAGGACUGAUAGAGCUCCAGUACAUCAUAUCUGUAAAGUCAUGUGACUCAUCACAGCAUCAGAAUAGACCAGAAUUCACUGUGAGCUUCACAUCUCAUUACAGCUAAUAGACCAAUCAAAUCAGUCCACAGCUUCAAAACAUCCAAUCAGGCGUGAGUCUGGACCUGCUUUUCUACUGAACUCACAAGUUCAUUACCUCACUAUCACUUUGUCUAAACAGGAACGAUGAUCACACUCUUUGUCGCGCUUUACUCUCUUUUUUCUCUCUGCACAGCUGGAAAAACUUCUGACAUCAAGGAGCUUCAUGUGAAAACAGUAAAGCGUGGAGAAGAUGUAACUAUGGAGUGUAGCAUGAGCAAGGGCAAAGACAAAAAUAAUUUAGCUUGGUACAGACAGAGUUUUGGAAAAGUGCCUCAGUAUUUUGUAAGAUAUUACGGGCAAAGUAAUUACACAUUUGCAGAGGGAUUUAAAGAUAGCCGCUUCAGUAUGACUGUAAAUGACCAGAAGUUUGAUCUCAACAUUAUCGGAACGAGAGAAGAUGAUGGAGGAGAAUAUUUCUGUGGAGAAGCGGAGGGAAAUAAAAUAAAGUUCACAUCUGGAACACGUCUGCAAUUUGAAGGUGAAGAGAUGAAACACUGUCCUACACCUGGAACGGUUAACAACAACACAGAUUCUGUUACAGGGUCCGAUGAGGGUUCAAAGAGCAGUGAUGGAAAAGGUUCCAGUUGUCCUGAUCAGACGCAUGUGCUGGUCUGGCUCUCCAUUUUUAGAGUUGGAGUUCUUGCCUUCAUGCUUCUUAUCUUUCCAAUAAUCCUGAUUGUUUUCAAAUUAAGAUCAAAUUAGAAAUUCAGAUACAAAUGGAAGAAAUACUGAUUUAAGGAGAAAACAGUGUGUUAGAUUUAACUAGAGCUAAUUGCUUAUAUUGUCCGUAUAUUGGAAUGAUUUUGGUCUAACUGUAAUGUGGAGGUAUUUACCAGCCGUACUUACAGCUGCAUUUAAGGGCUCCUGAGAGGCGCAGUACAAAAUCGUUCUCCCUAUUGUCUCGGGGUCUAAUCCUGAGCAUGCCACAGACAUCCGUGGUCGGAAGUCUAAGAGAGCAAAAUUGGCCGUGCUCUCUGGGAGGGAGGGACAUACUCUCUCUCCCCUGUCAAUCACAGCAACACCAGCCAAUCAUGGGAAUCUGUGGGUGUGUUAUGCUGCCCCCUGAUGGUCAGAAGUUCAAAAAGAUGCAGUUAUCUGGCUUCACGUGUCUCACAGGAAGCAUGUGAUAGCCUUCACCCUCCCUGGUUGGUAGCUGCUGUGUGACAGGGGAGACCUAACUGGAGGGCAGGAACUGGCCAUGAAUAAAUUAGG
Ictalurus furcatus (blue catfish) is the source of this 2019-nucleotide non-coding RNA. The record is from the annotation of a RefSeq genome assembly. Lineage: Eukaryota; Metazoa; Chordata; Actinopteri; Siluriformes; Ictaluridae.